This 72-nucleotide transfer RNA is filed under the name Rhodovulum sp. RNAcentral describes it as "tRNA-Pro". It matches the Rfam family "tRNA". Rfam says of the family: Transfer RNA (tRNA) molecules are approximately 80 nucleotides in length. Lineage: Bacteria; Pseudomonadati; Pseudomonadota; Alphaproteobacteria; Rhodobacterales; Paracoccaceae. The record is from RNAcentral.
CGAGACGUAGCGCAGUGGUAGCGCGUCUGCUUUGGGAGCAGAAGGUCGCGUGUUCAAAUCACGCCGUCUCGA